CAUGAUGUUCCGUCAUGAGUAUCCUACCGGCACAUGCAGGAGCGGUAACGCACCAGUUCGAAGCUGCCGGGACAACAUAGCCGGGCCUGAGAACCUGUCCGACACCGUAAGGUCAGGCAACAUCAGCAAGCAUCAUGCGGAUGCGGUG
This is a non-coding RNA of Pantoea sp. At-9b, 148 nucleotides long. NCBI's taxonomy places the organism in Bacteria, Pseudomonadati, Pseudomonadota, Gammaproteobacteria, Enterobacterales, Erwiniaceae. The record is from Rfam.